UACGUAGGGUGCAGGCGUUAAUCGGUAUUACUGGGCGUAAAGCGUGCGCAGGCGGUUUGCUAAGACAGGUGUGAAAUCCCCGGGCUUAACCUGGGAACUGCGCUUGUUACUGGCAAGCUAGAGUGUGGCAGAGGGGGGUGGAAUUCCAGGUGUAGCAGUGAAAUGCGUAGAGAUCUGGAGGAACACCGAUGGCGAAGGCAGCCCCCUGGGCUAACACUGACGCUCAUGCACGAAAGCGUGGGGAGCAAACAGG
This 253-nucleotide ribosomal RNA is filed under the name uncultured bacterium. RNAcentral describes it as "partial 16S ribosomal RNA". It matches the Rfam family "Bacterial small subunit ribosomal RNA", at positions 524 to 776 of the family's 1533-position model. The record is from RNAcentral.